UGAGUUUAGCAGAACAUUCUGGAAAGUAUAGCCAUAGAGGGUGAUAGUCCCGUAUGCGAAAAACAAAGCUUAGCUAGCAGUAUCCUGAGUAGGGCGGGACACGAGAAAUCCUGUCUGAAUCCGGGUCGACCACGAUCCAACCCUAAAUACUAAUACCAGAUCGAUAGUGCACAAGUACCGUGAGGGAAAGGUGAAAAGAACUGAGGUGAUCAGAGUGAAAUAGAACCUGAAACCAUUUGCUUACAAUCAUUCAGAGCACUAUGUAGCAAUACAGUGUGAUGGACUGCCUUUUGCAUAAUGAGCCUGCGAGUUGUGGUGUCUGGCAAGGUUAAGCAAACGCGAAGCCGUAGCGAAAGCGAGUCUGAAUAGGGCGCUUAGUCAGAUGCUGCAGACCCGAAACGAAGUGAUCUAUCCAUGAGCAAGUUGAAGCUAGUGUAAGAACUAGUGGAGGACUGAACCCAUAGGCGUUGAAAAGCCCUGGGAUGACUUGUGGAUAGGGGUGAAAGGCCAAUCAAACUUCGUGAUAGCUGGUUCUCUCCGAAAUAUAUUUAGGUAUAGCGUUGUGUCGUAAUAUAAGGGGGUAGAGCACUGAAUGGGCUAGGGCAUACACCAAUGUACCAAACCCUAUCAAACUCCGAAUACCUUAUAUGUAAUCACAGCAGUCAGGCGGCGAGUGAUAAAAUCCGUCGUCAAGAGGGAAACAACCCAGACUACCAGCUAAGGUCCCUAAAUCUUACUUAAGUGGAAAACGAUGUGAAGUUACUUAAACAACCAGGAGGUUGGCUUAGAAGCAGCCAUCCUUUAAAGAAAGCGUAAUAGCUCACUGGUCUAGUGAUUUUGCGCGGAAAAUAUAACGGGGCUAAAGUAAGUACCGAAGCUGUAGACUUGCACACAACUUAGAUUAUUUAAGUUUAGAAUAUGAGAAACUAAGUUAUAU
RNAcentral lists this ribosomal RNA (937 nucleotides) under Campylobacter jejuni. RNAcentral describes it as "partial 23S ribosomal RNA". It matches the Rfam family "Bacterial large subunit ribosomal RNA", at positions 324 to 1220 of the family's 2925-position model. Lineage: Bacteria; Pseudomonadati; Campylobacterota; Epsilonproteobacteria; Campylobacterales; Campylobacteraceae. The record is from RNAcentral.